UACGUAGGGUGCAAGCGUUGUCCGGAAUUAUUGGGCGUAAAGCGCGUGUAGGCGGCUCGGUAAGUCCGCUGUGAAAGUCCAGGGCUCAACCCUGGAAUGCCGGUGGAUACUGUCGGGCUCGAGUCCGGAAGAGGCGAGUGGAAUUCCUGGUGUAGCGGUGAAAUGCGCAGAUAUCAGGAGGAACACCGAUGGCGAAGGCAGCUCGCUGGGACGUGACUGACGCUGAGACGCGAAAGCGUGGGGAGCAAACAGG
This 253-nucleotide ribosomal RNA is filed under the name uncultured bacterium. RNAcentral's name for it is "partial 16S ribosomal RNA". It matches the Rfam family "Bacterial small subunit ribosomal RNA", at positions 524 to 776 of the family's 1533-position model. The record is from RNAcentral.